RNAcentral lists this long non-coding RNA (2214 nucleotides) under Homo sapiens (human). RNAcentral's name for it is "HSALNT0399513". The record is from RNAcentral. Lineage: Eukaryota; Metazoa; Chordata; Mammalia; Primates; Hominidae.
UGACAAGAAAUAAUUGGCUUGUGAGAAUCAACAUUGAAGCUGGAAAAAUGAUGGCAUCCGAACAAGUAGACACAGCCCUAGUCAAGGCAAUAAACUACACUAAAGACAGAGGAGAAAGACUCAAAGUUGUUCUAACAUGUGAGUACCUAGGGGUGCUGCAUGCCGUUGUGUGGUUUGUGUACUGCAUAGUUGUACUCAGCCAAGGAAGUGGAUGAGGCCACAGCUUUAACAUGGGCUGCUGUCUGCCCAGAAGGAUAAUCUUUUCCUUAUUUUAUAUCUCAUUUCAGGGGUUCUCCAACUUCUGAAAUCCAUCCAGAAACUCCCUGUAUUUGGGUAACAGUAUUAUAACUUUUUGCACCAGGGCUUUUUUGUUUGUUUGUUAAUAUUAAUUGAUUUUUCUUAUGUUCUUUAUGAAAGAAUAACUCAUCCAUUAAUGAAACCAAAUGUGAACUUAGUGCCUUCUGUGUAGAAAAGGCUAGGAAUACAUAUUGUGGGAGAUUCAUUACAUCACUGGCCUUAAUACUACACCUUCUCAUGUUCCCCCUUGGCUGUGUAACUUUCUAGUGUCCAUAUGCUCUCUCUUGGGGUGGCCAGUGUGACUUGCUUUGGCCAAUGGGAUAUUAGCAACCAUGACAUAACCCGAGGCUUAUAAAGUUGCCUGCUCAUUGGGACUUGUUUCACUGUUGCAUCCCAGUUAUUCACAUCACUCCAGCUGACAGCCAACCAACAAACAGCCAGACACGUGAGCCCAACCAAGAUCAGAAGAACUGUCCCACUGAGCAUAGUCUAAAUUGCUAACAUGCAAAUGCAUGACCACAGCAAGGUAAUCUUACAGCCCAGGACUCAGCUGCUGCAAUCUCUGUGAAAGGUACUUAUGACUAAUGCUGAUGCCACCAUGAAGCUCAGGAAACAAUUUACAGGGACAUGGGCUGUUCUGAGACCCCACAGCCAUGAAUCGCCUAAUCAUUCUGACAGAUUUCUGCAGAUGCUGUGCUCAGGUCACUGAGUUUCCCAGUUGUCAGUGGUGAACUGGAGCGGAGGCAGAAGGAAACUCUUCAGACACACUGUUCCCUUCAGGAAACAAGGGACAAAAGGGCUGCCCUGAGGAGACUUGGGAAAGUGACAUUUCCUCAGGCUCGAGGACAUCCCGAGGUUCUGCUCAUGAAACAGAGACAACCAUGUGUGGUGCCUGCAUUCUUGGCCUGCGGGGAGUGGAAAGGAGACAAAGAGUAAAACACGGUGGGAAAGAAGAAAAAGAGGUUAAGAAAAGCAAAUGUGCCUACUCCAGGUAAUUUUGACUUAGGGACCCUGAUUAACUUACACACUAAUUAAACCAUUUCCAGAUUUUGUGCAGUCUGAAAGCAGCCCAUUUUCCCCAACACCAGGUCGCUCAAGAUGACCACAGGAAGGUUGUCAUCUUCAUGUCUAAAAGCCAGUUGACACUCAAGGGUGUCAUUUCACUUCAGUGAAAUGAGAAGCUUCACAGAUGUGUAGACUCUGAAAAAUCUAACUGGAAAACAAUACAGGGAAAUAGCAAUACUAGGCAUCAAAGCAGCAAAAAAACUACUCAAUUAUCUGAUAUGGGGAUUAUCAAUGGAAUAAAUGUGGGGUUUGUUGUUUGUUGUUGGGAUUGUUGUGGGUUUUGUUUCAUUUUUUAGGGUCUCACUUUUCUCCACCAAUUAGAUCUGUGCUGUGAGCCACACAGGUUUUGAGUACAUGUUUUGGGACUUUAUAUCGGUCAGACUUUGCCAUGGUAACACUGUGUAACGAGCAGCCCCAAAAAUCUCAGUGGUGGUCAAAAGCAAACCUUUAUUUCUCAUUCAUGGGUUUUCAGUUUGUUCAGGCUAAAAGUAAAAUACACAGAUUCUUCACCUGUCUUUCAUUCCAUGCUGAAGGAGCAAUUGACUGCCUGGGACAUACUUUUCUCAUAACAGAGGCAAGGGUGAAAAACACCAAGUCAUCUUGAUUAUGCAAUCCCAUUUUUAAUGUAAACAAUGUCAUGUCUGCUUCUAUUUCAUUGAGCAAAGCAAGUCAUAUAGGCAAGCCCAACAUCAGUGGGGUGAUAAAGCACACUCUCCAAUGGAAGGAGGAGGGGAGCAUGAUCAUUUGCUGAACAGUAAUGCAAGAUAGCACAAGACUUGUCUGGGGUGAGAGAGAGAUCAAAGCUGUGGAUCCCACCCAGUCUUCAACCAAAGCAAUGUGGCUUUGACCUGU